UACGGAGGAGGCAAGCGUUAAUCGGAAUUAUUGGGCGUAAAGGGUGUGUAGGUGGUUAAAAUAGUUAAAUGUGAAAUCCCUGAGCUUAACUUAGGAAUUGCAUUUAAUACUUUUUGACUAGAGUUUUGUAGAGGGAAGUAGAAUUUUCGGUGUAGCGGUGAAAUGCGUAGAUAUCGGAAGGAAUACCAGAGGCGAAGGCGACUUCCUGGACAAAUACUGACACUGAGACACGAAAGCGUGGGGAGCAAACAGG
This 253-nucleotide ribosomal RNA is filed under the name uncultured bacterium. RNAcentral's name for it is "partial 16S ribosomal RNA". It matches the Rfam family "Bacterial small subunit ribosomal RNA", at positions 524 to 776 of the family's 1533-position model. The record is from RNAcentral.